This is a non-coding RNA of Rattus norvegicus (Norway rat), 5529 nucleotides long. NCBI's taxonomy places the organism in Eukaryota, Metazoa, Chordata, Mammalia, Rodentia, Muridae. The record is from RefSeq and is a predicted model, not a curated record.
GUAGAAAAGUAAUCGCUAUGCUGUAUGUGUUUUGAUCCAUGGCUGCUUGGCCAUUGUGAUGGUUUGUAUAUGCUUGGCCCAGAGAGUGGCAUCAUUGGGAGGUGUGGCCUUGUUGGAGUAGGUGUGGCUUUGUGGGUGUGGGCUUUAGUAGCCUUGUCCUAGCUGCCUAGAAACUAGUAUUCUGCUAGCAGCCUUCAGAUGAAGAUGUAGAACUCUCGGGCUCCUCCUGCACCAUACCUGCCUGGACACUGUAGGAUGAUGUCACAGGUCUUAUGAAGAGCAUUUUAAAUGAGCAUAGCAAGCCAGUAAGUAACAUCCCUCCAUGGCCUCUGCAUCAGCGCCUGUUUCCUGACCUGCUUGAGUUCCAGUCCUGACUUCCUUUGGUGAUGAACAGCAAUGUGGAAGUGUGAGCUGAAGAAACCCUUUCCUCCCCAACUGCUUCUUGGUCAUGAUGCUUUGUGCAGGAAUAGAAACCCUGACUAAGACAUCCAUAUUCUUCUCAGAGGACCAAAGACAUUAAGAAAUUAACUGAAGCUCCUACAGCUGAUAAACACUUUCAGAAAGAAGCUGGAUACAAAAUUAACUCGCAAAAAUCAGUAGCUCUCCUAUAUACAAAUGACCAAUAGACUGAGAAAGAACCCAGGGAAACAACACCUUCCAGAAUAGCCUCGAAUAAUGUCAGAUAUUUUGGUGUAACUCUAACCAAGCAAGUGAAAGCCUUGUAUGAUAAAAAAACAAAAAACAAAAAAAAACUUCAAGUCUCUGGAGAACGAUAUUGAAGAAGAUAUCACAAGAUGGAAAGAUGAUCAUAGUGUGGAAGGAUUAGCAUAGUAAAAAUGUCCAUCUUCCCAAAAGCAAUCUACAGAUUCAACACAAUCCCCAUCAAAAUUCCAAUACAAUUCUUCACAGAUCCUGAAAAGAGAAAUUUAAGCUUCAUAUGGGAACACACACACACACACACACACACACACACACACAGAGAGAGAGAGACAGAGAGACAGAGAGAGACAGAGACAGAGAGACAGAGACAGAGGCAAAGACAGAGAGAGACAGAGAGCCUUGAACUCAUUGGUGCUGGAAAUAUUUUCUGAACAAAACACUGUCUGCACAGGCACUAAGAGCGGCAAUUAGCAAAUGGGACCGGGCAAAGGACAUGGUCAUUCAGACAAAGUAGAAACAGACAGAAAGGGGGGGGCGGGUUUUAUCAAUAGAGGGCUAAUAUCCAAAAUAUAUAAAGAACUCAAAAAACUGGAUAUCAAGAUAACAAAUAACCUAACCAUAAUUCUCAAUUUAGGAAUCUCACGUGACUGAGAAACACUGAAGGGACUGUUCAAGAUCCUUAUGCCUCCAGGAAAUGCACAUUAAAACUACUGCAGGAUUUCAUCUUUUACAUGUUAGAGUGGCCAAGAUCAAAUGACAGUUCAUGCUCCUGAGGAUGUGGAGUAAGGGGAGUACUCCUCCAUUGCUAGUGAGAGUGAAAAGUUGUGCAGCCACUAUGAAAAUCAGCGUUGUGAUUCCUCAGGAAAAUGAGAAUCUAUCUACCUCAAGAUCCAGCUAUACCACUCUCAGGCAUACACCUAAAGAAUGCUUCAUCCUACCACAGAGACACCUGCUUAGCCAUGUUCAUUACUGUUCUAUUCAUAAUAGCCUGAAAAUGGAAACAACCUGGAUGUCCCUCGAUAAAAAAAAAAUUGAUAAAGAAAAUGUGGUACAUUUGUAUAAUGGAGUAUUAUUCAGCCACUAAAAAUGAAAUCAUAAAACUCACUAGUAAAUGGAUAGAACCAGAAAACGUCAUCCUGAAUGAGAUACCCCAGACCCAGAAAGACAAAUAUAGUAUGUACUCACUUAUAUGUGGAUAUUACCUGUUAAGUCAAUGAUCCACUACCAUCCAUAGGACCACAAUGGUUAGGCAAAGAGUAAGGGACUAGGAAUGGCAGAUAAUCUCAUUUGGAAAAGAAGAGAGAUAGUUACGAAUGGGUGGAAGGGCUGGAACAGGAAGAUCAUGUGGGGAAUGAGAAUGGAGGAUGAGGGAGGAAAUAGAGAGAGAGCGAGCUAACAAUAAUGGCCAUGUGGGUGGUGGUAUCGAAACCUAAUACAGUAGAAGCUUCCUAAAAUACAUACAAUAUAAAGGUGACCCAAAUGAAAUGGCCAAACACUGAAGAGACAGAGUCCAACUGGCCAUCUCCUGUCACCAAAUGAAGCUUCCCGCCAGGACUGGGUUACAUUUAAUUGAGUUCCUAGCCAAAGAGGUCCCAUGAGAAUCCCUAAAGAACCCAAGCUGUGGUUGCAGGACUAUAGGUUGCACAAACCAACAGCAAGGCCCCAUUGCUAAAGAAAACAGCUACACAACGCAUUGAAAACGGUGAAGUCAAACUGGUGCCGACAAAGAGCCUUCGGCCCUAUAAUGGUAGGUGUUGUUGUUGUUGUUGUUGUUCUGUUUGUUUUGUUUUGUUUUGUUUGCACGGCUGUAGUGAAGGGAAGAUGCUUAGUGAAGGAAGAGGUAUAGAAGCACAUGCUGGAAGGAAAUCAGUGCCUAAAAUGACGUCAGACAAUAGCCUGAAAUGAGGAAAAGGAACUCAAUGUCCUUGGUGAAACAUUUGCAUGGUGGAGUGGCUGUGGCCCAUUCUACAUGAUGUAUCCGAGGAUCAUUUAUUUUAUUGCAUGUUGUAAAAAUCUUGUUUUGGUUUUUCGACACAGGGUCUUGCUGCAUACGGCACAAGCUAGCCUUGGACUAAUAGCAAGUCUCCUCCCAAUUUUAAGUGUAAGCCACAUUGUCCAUUUAACUUGCUUUUAACUAUCCCUAGAAACAUAAAAUUGCACAUAUUAUGGGCAAUCGUGUGAUUUUUCAAUAUAUGCAAGCAUAGUAUAAUGGUUUUUUUUUUUUUUGGUUCUUUUUUUCGGAGCUGGGGACCGAACCCAGAGCCUUGCGCUUCCUAGGUAAGCGCUCUACCACUGAACUAAAUCCCCAGCCCCUAGUAUAAUGUUUAAAUCAGUAUAAACAUUGAUUUUUGAACACUCAACAUUUAUGAUACAAAUAUUCUGCAACAUUUUCUAUUCCAAAAUAAAAAAUUUCCUGAAAGUUGGACUUUCUGAUAGGAGCAGAACUUUGCUGUGUAGAGCUGACUUCUGAGAAUCUUUUUCUUUUAAUAGUUACUUAUUUGUUCAUUCAUUUAUCUUAUGUAAGAUUGUGUGUGCCUGGAUAAAUGUGUGCCCACAGAGGCCAGAAGAGGGUAUCAAAUGGAUCCCCUGAAUCUGGAGUUACAGAUGGUUGGUUGGGAGUUAGUUUCUGGGUUCUAAGAACCAAACCUGGGGCCUCUGGAAGAGCAUCCAGUUCUCUUAACCACUGAGCCACCUCUCCAGGCCCCUGAGAUUCUUUUCUAUUGAUUCCCAAAUCAGCACUGAGAGGCCAAAGAAAGGAGAGGAUAGCUACCCCAUCAUAUCUGCCUUACCUCUGGCUAUGGCCAGGUUAAAAACAUUCACGCCCAGCCUUCCUGACAAGUGUGAACAGAUGGGAAGUGCUUGUGCUUGGCUUCCCCCCAUACUGAACCCUAUUCUUUAGUGAGAUGUUAUUUUAAUAUUUUUUUCUUUUUUUUCGGAGCUGGGGACCAGACCCAGGGCCUUGCGGUUGCUAGGCAAGCGCUCUACCACUGAGCUAAAUCCCCAACCCCGAGAUGUUAUUUUAAGAUGGGGUCUUAGAGGCAGUUCAGCCCUGAGGGUGAUUCCCUCGUGGUGAGAUCAGUGACCUUAUAAGAAGAAAGGCCUGGUGGUCCAUGCUUGUAGUCCCAGCACUGGGAAACAGAAGCAGUAGGAUCAUUCACAAGUUUUAGGCCAAUCUGGGUUACAUAGUGAGAUUCAAGCCAGUGUGGGUUUUAUGAUGAGACCUUGUCUCAAAAGACAAACAAACAAAAAAGCAAAUAGGGCUAGCUUUGCACCUAUCUUUCCUCAACAUGGGAGGUUACACAGGGAAGACUAUUAGACAGUAGUCCAGACCAGGAAGACAGCCCUCUCCAGGGAUGCUGGAUUAGCCAGCACCUGGACCUUGGUCUUUCAACUUCCAGAACUAGGAGCCAUAAACACUCGUCAUUUAAGCCAUCAGUCUCCAGAAUACCAGUGACAGUCAGAGGAAGCACUAGCUAACAGCCGGUGGACUGUACAUGUGCUUUCUAAGAUUGUGACUGUGCUUUUGGUUUGGUUUUAUUUGCCUUGCUUUUAAAGGUUUUUUUAUGUGUAUGAGUGUUUCACUGUGUGUAAGCAUUCGUACCACAUGUGUGCAGUGCCCGAGGAAGCCAGACAAGGGAGUACACUGGAACUAGAGUUACAGAUGGUUGUGAAGAAUCAUCUGCGUCCUGGGGAUCAAACUGAGGCCCUCUGCAAGAUCAGCAAGUGCUCUAAACCCCUGAGCUAUCCCUCCACCCCCACCUCCCUGGUUUUUAAGACCACUGACUGCAAUUUGUGUUGCUCAUCAUAUACUCGUGGGUAUAGAGCCAAACCCUGGACCACAGUGGACCUACCAGAAACCACAGCACUGAGUAAAGUGUAUUAUCACUCAGCUAGAAGCCAUCAACUGUCGAUAGCUUCUCAGCCAAAAGGUCUCCAGGACACCCUUGACCAACACCUGAAGGUGGGCUGAUCCACAUAGGACACUGUCCCUUUCGUUUGGCGUCCUGUGAGUGGAUGUACCCUGUGCCUUCAGCCAUCAUGUCCACCUCUUCAAGAAAUGCAUAAACAGAGAUUGCAACCAGCUGAGCCUCACUACGGUGGCUGAGUAGGAAAGAGCACCGUAAAACUUCGGAACAGUUAGCAGCCUUUGGCGUGGGAAAGCAAGAAGGAAUUUGAUCUGGGUGCACAUGCAGAGGACCAGGCAAUAACUGCACGGUGUUUAAUACCAUUUCCCAAGGAAGAGAGAACACGCAACCCUGCUCCUUCCGAAGCUGCUCCCAGGCCCUCCUAACAGCCUGCACGGACAGACUGGAGCACAGAGCACAAGCAAGCAGAGGGCAGCUGCAGCAGGAGCAUAGUCAGGCAAACAAUCCUGGAGGCAGGGUAGCAGAGGCGUCCACAUGUGCAUGCACGCCCUUCUGGGAUCGUGAUGACGCCCCAGGGAGUUCUAGGCAGCCUACUGAUUUGUUGCUCCCUAACCACACAGUUGUCAGUGGUGGCGGCAGCGGUGAUGUUGUUGUUGUGGUUUAGUGCUUGGCAGCCUCCAGGCGCUGUUCUAGCUGGCUCUCAACAGUUUCUCAGCAGCUCCCUGCCAACCCCUGGCCACAGCCUCCUCAGCACCUAAGUCCUAGUCAGACUGGCCUCCUCCUCUCCUUCCUCCUACUCUCCCUCCUCCAGGACCCAGGCAGUGUGAAGCUAGGGAGGGAGCAGCCGAGAUGCUGAGGGACUAAUUGUAUUAAUGAAAAUGGCAAACACACAUCCUUUCCAUCUGGCGGCACAAAGGAGAGGCUGUUGGGGAUGCAAUUACCCUCUACAGGAGAGAGUAAAAUAUUUGUCAGGUUUAGCAAUAAAAUUAAUAUCCCCCAAUUA